This 73-nucleotide transfer RNA is filed under the name Fasciola gigantica. RNAcentral's name for it is "tRNA-Thr". Lineage: Eukaryota; Metazoa; Platyhelminthes; Trematoda; Plagiorchiida; Fasciolidae. The record is from RNAcentral.
ACCGCGAUAGCUCAGCUGGUGGAGUAUCUGCCCGGUAUGCAGAGGGUCGCCGGCCCAAUUCCGGCUUGCGGUA